Molecule: ribosomal RNA, 801 nt
Filed under: Triticum aestivum (bread wheat)
Lineage: Eukaryota; Viridiplantae; Streptophyta; Magnoliopsida; Poales; Poaceae
Description: partial small subunit ribosomal RNA
Source: RNAcentral
AUGCUCUUGAUAGGCGCAACUGAAGUAGCCACAGAUUCAGUCUUCUUUACAGUGUUAGCAGGGCCGGGUGAAGGAACUGUAGCUUCAGCCUUCUUCACAUUGUUGACAGGCCCGGGUGAAGGAACCGUAGCUUCAGCCUUCUUCACAUUGUUGACAGGCCUGGGUGAAGGAACCGUAGCUUCAGCCUUCUUCACAUUGUUGACAGGCCCUGGUGAAGGAACUGUAGCUUCAGCCUUCUUCACAUUGUUGACAGGCACAGGUGAUGGAACCGUAGCUUCAGCCUUCUUCACAUUGUUGGCAGGCCUAGCUGAAGGAACCGUAGGUUCAGCCUUCUUCACAUUGUUGGCAGACACAGCUGAAGGGGCCGUGGCUUCAGUCUUCUUUACAUUGUUGGCAGGCCCAGCUGAAGGAGAUGUGGCUUUGGUCUUCUUUACAUUGUUGACAGGCCCAGCUGAAGGAACCGUAGCUUCCUUCUUUACAUUGUUGAUCGGCCCAGGUGAAAGAGCCAGAGCUUCAUUCUUCUUUACAUCGUUGACAGGACGAGCUGAAGGAACUGGAGCUUCAGUCUUCUUUACAUUGUUCACAGGGCCAGCUAAAGCAACCGUUGCUUUGGUCUCCUUUAAAUUGCUGACAGGCCCAGAUGAAGGAACCGAAGCUUCAGACUUCACAUUCUUCAGAAUCCCAUUAUUGGGAGAAACUUCGGCAGGAAAUCCAUUGAACAGCACUGGCCCACCAUUUGGUAAGGUAGAGGUUACGGCUUCCUUCUUACUACUGCCAGCGAGAUCCUUUGUAUGGCCAUAA